UAAUAGUACCACACAUUAUACUUGUAAGGGCAGUAACAGUGCAAGGCACGCAUAGCGCGCUUCUAGCCCAUUUGUGCGAUAAAAUUGGCCCGAAGGCCAGUAGGCCACACACCCCACAGUGCUCGUGACCCACAAUACGCUAUCAAGUCGGAACUCCCAGUCGAACGAAAACAGAGUUAAUUUUCCCCACCUGCCCCUUCAUGCUUAUCCUCUACACAGAAAAAAAUCCCGUCACUUCUCCCCAUCUCCGCGCCGCUCCCCCGCCCCACCCACCCCCCUCCGCUAAAAAAAAUCCGCAGCUUCUCCUCCUCAUUCACCACACCACGCGCUUCUCCUCCCAGAUCUGCCGCUUCUCUCCCCAAAUUUGACACUUCUCCUCCCAAAUCCACCGCACCGUUUCUCCCAAUCUGCGCCACUUCUCCUCGCCCAUCCACUGCACCGCUUCUCCCCCAAAUCCAAGCGCGGGAGGCAAGAAUCGGUGGGGUGGGAGGGUGAUUUUGGGGAUUCACUUUUCGGGGCGGCGCGAGGAAGCGACGAAUCGGAGCGACGACCUCCACGUUGCAGGGGCGGAGGGGGUUUCUUGCGCUGCGCGCCCUCGUUGCAACGAAGAAACUCGUCUCCCAGAUAAGGGGCGAGCGGCUAAGCAGAGGCGCGAGCCUCGUCGACACGUAAGCGAGUCCAAUAUGGCAGGUGAAGGUAACAUGCCAUGUACACGCACUGGGAAGGGCCUAAAGGGGCUAGCAAUAAUACGUGAGUACUAGGGAUUGAUGAACCAUGGUGAAGACUCCAAUAAGGUACAAAGGUGGAAUUUUGGAAAUGAUGGCGCCGACAAGGUGUUCAAAUGUUCGAUGUGAUAUGGUGAAAAUUUUUGGAGUGGGACCUAACAAGGCCUGAGCUGAUAAAGUAUCGAGGUAACAUCGUGGAUGAGGCUAUGCCAACAAGAUACCAAGGAUGAAUUGAGAGGGCAACAACGUCGACAAGGUAUCACAUACUUGAACCAUGGAUACUUGAUUGGGACGAAGACACGAGGAUCUGGUAUGCAUGCUCGUGGCAGAUGAGGCAAAGUAAAGGUGUCUCAAGGAAGCCGCGAAUACGGAUCGAUCUCCUAUAAUUUAUACCAUCCCAAAAUUGAUAUGCCUUACAUUAGCAGUUCUUAAAAUAAACCGAACACAAAAGACAGAAACAUAUAUAUUCAUCCAAAUAUUUGGACACGAUAUGAAACAAACAUGAACAUUUACAUGAUACUAAUUUGAGAACAUCUCUGUUUUAUACUGUGCAGUGAUUUUUUUCCCCGAUGGUUGGUGCGAAGCAAUUUUUCUCAAAAGGAAAUGAAACGAUUGAAAGCUUUCCUUCCUGACGCGUGUGGCACGAUUUUAUCCGCCGGUUUAUUUUCCCAGGAAAGAAUUCAACAUUUCAACUUCUGGAGGACUCCGACCGCCGUGCCUCUUCAUCGUCGGUGCCCUAGGUUCUCCACGCCCAUUGCCCAUUACUAAUCCGGCACUGCUAGCUCAGGUAUACGCCACGAAACCCACUCCUACGCCAAGGUAUCCACCACUCGCGCGCGGCGCGCGCACGCUCGCCGGCGACGGCAGCGCGGGGUGCUCCUUGUGUUGGGCGCGCUCGGCGAAGGUGUGGCGGUGUGGCGCAUGGAGGUUCAGCGGGAGACCGGGCGUUCCUGGCACACGCGGCCGUGUUUGGCGGAGCUCGCGCGCGCUCAUGGCGUUGUCAUGGGGGUGGUUUUCUCGUGUUCAGGUUCAGGCACGAAGGGGGCGCCGCGUAACUCGCCGUGAAGGUGUUCGAUCAGAUGCCCCUCUCAGGGCGAAGUUUUGUGAAGUUGACACUUCGGCAGAUUUGAUUAAUAACAAGACAAAUGCAGCUGUUAGAAGGCCACGGUUCAUCAGAGUUCUGCUCCCUGGAUCCUUCGCAAAGAUGGUCCACAGAUGCUUGUAUACUACUACAUGUUCUGCCGUUCUGAAUUUCGUAGCGAAUUCUUAACAAGUUUGCAAGGACAGUGCCGGUCAAAUUGGCCAUGGUUUUCAGCCUCGUUGGCAAUUUUUGGCACGUUAAGCUGUAUUGAGGAUUUGAGAUCUACUCUUCUUUUUAAGAGCUAUUGAGAUCUACUUUAGGGAGUGGCAGAACAGGGUUUGUGAGGGCUCGUGAUUUUUCUGAGGGCAAACUUCUGCUGCUGUUCAGAUACGAAGAUAUCGUCAAAUGCUCGACCAAAAACAGAAGAUAAUUCAGAUGACGAACUACCUCAACUCUGAAUAAAAUUUGGCCGCCUUCCUUCUUUAGCCCGGCGAGAAAAAGGAUGGAAAGGGCCUGAAUGACAGGCUAUGGAAGAGAAAAAAGUUGGGAAGUAGGAUAAGUCGGAGGAACAGUGCAGAUUGCACUGCAAGUCUUUGAGAUGAGAAUGACCCAAGAGACAGGCCACUGAAAAAGAUGAAGAAGCGGCUUUGAAGUUUUGUGGAUCAGUCAAAAUGGGAAUUGCGAGAACGGAACUGCAAGUCAUGCAGGAGACAAGAAUCCAAAAAAAGCCACAUUCAAAGUCUGAUCACGAUGAGUGAAGUGCUUAUGGGCUUAGCCACAGAUUUGAGCACUCCGUUUCAUGACUUGAUGCAUGCGCUUCCACGGGCUUCCCACAAGCUGCACAAUCACACUAAAAACGAAGAGCCAUUUCACAACAUGGAAGAAGGCGAUUUUGGUCACAGCCCAUAAACUCCCGUUGCUGACAAACAAACUUCAGGCUUCAUGUAUUCACAGCAGUACAAAGCAACACGCCUACAAUUUCUAUCCAAAAUGGCACAAUUUCAGCUCAUCAGAUUAAGUUAAGGCUCUAAAUCGAUCCUUCCCUCA
Long non-coding RNA from Oryza sativa Japonica Group (Japanese rice), 2853 nucleotides. RefSeq lists it as uncharacterized. The record is from RefSeq and is a predicted model, not a curated record. NCBI's taxonomy places the organism in Eukaryota, Viridiplantae, Streptophyta, Magnoliopsida, Poales, Poaceae.